Molecule: transfer RNA, 63 nt
Filed under: Loxodonta africana (African savanna elephant)
Lineage: Eukaryota; Metazoa; Chordata; Mammalia; Proboscidea; Elephantidae
Rfam family: tRNA
About the family: Transfer RNA (tRNA) molecules are approximately 80 nucleotides in length. Their secondary structure includes four short double-helical elements and three loops (D, anti-codon, and T loops). Further hydrogen bonds mediate the characteristic L-shaped molecular structure. tRNAs have two regions of fundamental functional importance: the anti-codon, which is responsible for specific mRNA codon recognition, and the 3' end, to which the tRNAs corresponding amino acid is attached (by aminoacyl-tRNA synthetases). tRNAs cope with the degeneracy of the genetic code in two manners: having more than one tRNA (with a specific anti-codon) for a particular amino acid; and 'wobble' base-pairing, i.e. permitting non-standard base-pairing at the 3rd anti-codon position.
Source: Rfam by way of RNAcentral
GCAUUGGUGGUAGAGUCCUUGCCUUUCAUGCAAGAGACCCAGGUUCGAUUACUGGCCAAUGCA